This is a long non-coding RNA of Sebastes umbrosus (honeycomb rockfish), 321 nucleotides long. RefSeq lists it as uncharacterized. NCBI's taxonomy places the organism in Eukaryota, Metazoa, Chordata, Actinopteri, Perciformes, Sebastidae. The record is from RefSeq and is a predicted model, not a curated record. The transcript is spliced from 3 exons.
AUUCACACACACUGCAUCAAGGCCUAUGGAAAGGAGGCUGGGUCACGUGCGGACAUCGGUCUUGGUGUAUGGGGUAUGACAAAUGCGCAGUGUAACUGAAGCUGCGGUCGUGUGUUGCGAUUGGCUCAAUUUCGGCGAGUGCAGACCAGAUUUUACUGCGCAUGUGUUUUACCCCAAAAGAUAUGAUGCGUGACACAGCCUCCUUUCUAUAGGCCUUGGUUGCAGUGUAUGUUAAGGACAUCAGCUGAUAGGAAGUAAACAUGAACCCAAACUGUUGCCAGGCAACGCAAUUCUGUUGCAAAUCCGUUGAAAUGCACUAAA